This 473-nucleotide ribosomal RNA is filed under the name uncultured bacterium. RNAcentral describes it as "bacterial SSU rRNA". It matches the Rfam family "Bacterial small subunit ribosomal RNA", at positions 335 to 799 of the family's 1533-position model. The record is from RNAcentral.
ACUCCUACGGGAGGCAGCAGUGGGGAAUAUUGCACAAUGGGGGAAACCCUGAUGCAGCCAUGCCGCGUGUGUGAAGAAGGCCUUCGGGUUGUAAAGCACUUUCAGUAGGGAGGAAGGUAGUGUAGUUAACACCUGCAUUAUUUGACGUUACCUACAGAAGAAGCACCGGCUAACUCCGUGCCAGCAGCCGCGGUAAUACGGAGGGUGCGAGCGUUAAUCGGAAUUACUGGGCGUAAAGCGCAUGCAGGCGGCCUGUUAAGUCAGAUGUGAAAGCCCGGGGCUUAACCUCGGAAUUGCAUUUGAAACUGGUAGGCUAGAGUCUUGUAGAGGGGGGUAGAAUUUCAGGUGUAGCGGUGAAAUGCGUAGAGAUCUGAAGGAAUACCAGUGGCGAAGGCGGCCCCCUGGACAAAGACUGACGCUCAGAUGCGAAAGCGUGGGGAGCAAACAGGAUUAGAUACCCUGGUAGGAUAGCG